This 176-nucleotide ribosomal RNA is filed under the name Listeria monocytogenes. Its description in RNAcentral is "partial 16S ribosomal RNA". It matches the Rfam family "Bacterial small subunit ribosomal RNA", at positions 1 to 171 of the family's 1533-position model. RNAcentral also lists the same sequence under 1 other name. Lineage: Bacteria; Bacillati; Bacillota; Bacilli; Caryophanales; Listeriaceae. The record is from RNAcentral.
UUUAAAGAGAGUUUGAUCCUGGCUCAGGACGAACGCUGGCGGCGUGCCUAAUACAUGCAAGUCGAACGAACGGAGGAAGAGCUUGCUCUUCCAAAGUUAGUGGCGGACGGGUGAGUAACACGUGGGCAACCUGCCUGUAAGUUGGGGAUAACUCCGGGAAACCGGGGCUAAUACCG